GACGUUUAUGUCGGGAAAUCGCGAGAUAAAAAUCUUCUACGAAAAUGCGCUGGAUAUUUCGUCUUUUUCAUACAAUUUCUCGGCUCAUAAUUUAUGACAUGCUUUGAAAAUUUCCACAAUAUAGCAUGAAUAUGUCAUUUAAACACUGGCACAAUUGGUGGUUUGUAAUCCGCUUAUUUAAUUCAAAUUAUUCCCCUUGAAAGACACUGUUUCGUUUGAGCAGUUCACAGGUAGCGCAACCUGUCUCGUAGUGUUCAUUUUCAAUGGCUAUUAAACGCUGUAAAUCAAAAUGACAUCGUGUACUAAUGGAUGUCUUCAAUCGAAGAAAGUUCGGAAAUGAUAUUUCCACAUGCUUAAAAUAGGUUGGGAAGUUACGGUCUUGGCGAACAGCAUUCUCACUUUCAGUGUGACAACUGUUGCGGCCUAAAUAAAAACAACAUAGUCAUCUGGUACCUUCUGUGGAGAGUUCUUGUAGGUUUACACUGAAUCAUCACACUAAGCUUUAUGUUGAUAAGACAUACAAAGUUUACACCAGAUUGGCACUUUGGCAUCUGGAAGUCAAAGUGGAGAAACUUCAAUGCAGAAAUGUUGUCUGAUGUCGCUGCGUCUGUGGGGUUAUCGUCAAGGACGGGCCACAACAUCCCCCAGCUUGUGGGGGACUCUUCCAAUCCUGUUGUUAUCUAAGACAGGAAGGAUUACCUUACGACAUUGUUUCACCACAUAAAGAAUGUCACCAAAUUUCAUCAAUUUCCAUUUGUCAGCGGAGCAUCCCGGUGUUGUGGAAUGCAGGGAAUUCAGUGACUCACCAGUAGUCAGAAUCACUCUCAGGAAGGUCUCGAAAGUGAAUGUUAAUGUGAGCUGUGACAACCUGCUAUAAGAAAUGUUUGCGAAAGGGCUUGAUCUGGACCAUCAGUGGUAUUUAUUUGAAAACAUUCGUGAAUUCUGUCGCAUAGAUGAACCAAAAACUUGACAUGUCCAAAACGCGCUACUGGUGAGCAACAAAAAACAGACUGUGCCCCCCAAAAAAGAAGAUGCAUUAAGAUGCGCAUCUGAUCUUCUCUGAUGGUGCCACAACAAUUACAUACAUCAUGUAUCAGUGUUUAUUUUGGCCAAGGUAUUUGGUGAUAUAUUUUCCCACAAACAAUGCAAAAAUCCUCUAUUCCUAGGAAAGCUAAAACAUUUAUACGAUUGCUAAAUGUGUCAGUUGAUACAGGUUUUGAAAUGUUCAAUGCAAACUUUUGUUGUUUUAAUUGCACAAGCUUGUUUUCAAGUUUUUUAUAUCUCAUAUUUACAAAACAAAAAUCAUUUUUUCCAUGUAGAUCUAACCAUGCAGUUGUUUUCACCUUAUGGACACAGACUGCCUAUCAGAAAAACUGGAAAAAAAUCAGUGUGAAUAUUGUAUUUAUUUAUGUUUUACAAUGAAAAUCCUAUAUUUUUGUUUGUUUGCUACAUUGUUUCCAUAGUAACAAAAACAAACAAGUUAUUGUUUAUUUUGUCUAUUUUUGUCUAUCAGAAAUAAUGAUAAAUAAUGAUUAUUUCAUUUACUGAAACAUUUAGUAUCCAAGUGUACUUUCAACCAACACUUUUCAAUGCUGUUUUUCCAUUUUUUAGUGUUUGAGGUUACAUUAUACUUAAAUACACAUGUAACUGAAUAAAAAAAGGAAAUUGUUCAUGGAACACACACAUUAUUGAUUGUUAUCGUUUAACUGGUUACAAAACAGUGAAAUUAAUGUUGUGUUUGCCUUUAAACAAACACUUGAUUGAAAAUACAAUUCAUAGAUUUAUAAAAGGCGUGAUUGUGUGCUCUGGUGAUUAUUAACAUGUAGAUUGGUUACCAUAGCAACACAAAUGGUACAUUUUAAAUGUCCAUAAUGCUGUUGUCAGUUUAUUGCACUAUAAAUAUGUAUUUGACUAAAGGAAAGAUUAUUGUUUUAAUAAAACAAUGUGCUGGUUG
Molecule: long non-coding RNA, 1954 nt
Organism: Dreissena polymorpha
Lineage: Eukaryota; Metazoa; Mollusca; Bivalvia; Myida; Dreissenidae
Exons: 4
Source: RefSeq, a predicted model, not a curated record